GAUAAUUAGUUUAACCAAAAUAAGUGAUUUCGACUCACUAGAUUAUGAUAACAUUCAUAAUUAUCU
RNAcentral lists this transfer RNA (66 nucleotides) under Lonchorhina aurita (Common sword-nosed bat). RNAcentral's name for it is "tRNA-Arg". The record is from RNAcentral. Lineage: Eukaryota; Metazoa; Chordata; Mammalia; Chiroptera; Phyllostomidae.